RNAcentral lists this ribosomal RNA (253 nucleotides) under uncultured bacterium. RNAcentral's name for it is "partial 16S ribosomal RNA". It matches the Rfam family "Bacterial small subunit ribosomal RNA", at positions 524 to 776 of the family's 1533-position model. The record is from RNAcentral.
UACGUAGGGUGCGAGCGUUAAUCGGAAUUACUGGGCGUAAAGCGCGCGCAGGCGGUCCUUUAAGUCUGAUGUGAAAGCCCACGGCUCAACCGUGGAAGGUCAUUGGAAACUGGAGGACUUGAGUACAGAAGAGGAAAGCGGAAUUCCACGUGUAGCGGUGAAAUGCGUAGAGAUGUGGAGGAACACCAGUGGCGAAGGCGGCUUUCUGGUCUGUAACUGACGCUGAGGCGCGAAAGCGUGGGGAGCAAACAGG